Molecule: non-coding RNA, 165 nt
Filed under: human gut metagenome
Description: Lysine riboswitch
Rfam family: Lysine riboswitch aptamer
About the family: Riboswitches are metabolite binding domains within certain messenger RNAs that serve as precision sensors for their corresponding targets. Allosteric rearrangement of mRNA structure is mediated by ligand binding, and this results in modulation of gene expression.
Source: RNAcentral
AGGAUAGAGGUUGCGAAACUCAAGAGUAGCAAAGGGUGAAAAACGGUAGGACACCUGCUCUUUGCGAAAGGGAUUUUCGCCGAAGCCGCAGACAGGUCCUGAUGUCUGCGAGCUGGGACGCAGGAGAAGAUUCUGCGGACUGUCACUUCGGUGGAGGACUAUCUU